CGGGGGGAGCAAGCGUUGUUCGGAUUUACUGGGCGUAAAGGGCGCGUAGGCGGCCACCGCAAGUCGACUGUGAAAUCUCCGGGCUUAACCCGGAAAGGUCAGCCGAUACUGCGGGGCUAGAGUGCAGAAGGGGCAACUGGAAUUCUCGGUGUAGCGGUGAAAUGCGUAGAUAUCGAGAGGAACACCUGCGGCGAAGGCGGGUUGCUGGGCUGACACUGACGCUGUUGCGCGAAAGCUAGGGGAGCGAACGGGAUUAGAUACCCCGGUAGUCCUAGCCUUAAACGAUGAAUGCUUGGUGUCUGGGGUUUUAUAGUCCCCGGGUGCCGUCGCUAACGCUUUAAGCAUUCCGCCUGGGGAGUACGGUCGCAAGACUG
RNAcentral lists this ribosomal RNA (374 nucleotides) under uncultured organism. Its description in RNAcentral is "bacterial SSU rRNA". It matches the Rfam family "Bacterial small subunit ribosomal RNA", at positions 526 to 896 of the family's 1533-position model. The record is from RNAcentral.